RNAcentral lists this ribosomal RNA (319 nucleotides) under uncultured Pseudomonadota bacterium. Its description in RNAcentral is "bacterial SSU rRNA". It matches the Rfam family "Bacterial small subunit ribosomal RNA", at positions 29 to 351 of the family's 1533-position model. The record is from RNAcentral. Lineage: Bacteria; Pseudomonadati; Pseudomonadota.
AUUGAACGCUGGCGGCAUGCCUUACACAUGCAAGUCGAACGGUAACGCGGGGUAACCUGGCGACGAGUGGCGAACGGGUGAGUAAUGCAUCGGAACGUGCCCAGUAGUGGGGGAUAGCCCGGCGAAAGCCGGAUUAAUACCGCAUACGACCUACGGGUGAAAGCGGGGGAUCGCAAGACCUCGCGCUAUUGGAGCGGCCGAUGUCAGAUUAGGUAGUUGGUAGGGUAAAAGCCUACCAAGGCAACGAUCGGUAGCUGGUCUGAGAGGACGACCAGCCACACUGGGACUGAGACACGGCCCAGACUCCUACGGGUGGCAG